UUUCAACUGGAAGAAAUGGCCAACCUUCAGAUAAGUUUAGUUUGAAGAUCAUGAUUGCGCGGUUGAUUCAAGAAAUCGAAGAUCUGAAACGACGGGUUGAAUCUACCAAAAUAAGAUUAGGCGCCGAAAGCAAACUAAGGGCAUAUGCCGAAAAAGAUGUAAAAGCUUUGCGUGAAGAACUGAUGAAUAAGAAAAUUCAGGUGACCCUUACAAAGAAAGAGGAACAGUCUUCUCUCGGUCCAAUUUUGAGAAAUGGUCACUUUAUCAGUGCUGUUUAAUUGAACCAACCUCGGCUGUUGGGUGAAUUAUUAAAACUUUUUUUUUCUACAACUCUAAUUGAUACAAAAUCUUCCGUCCAAUUAUAAUUUCCCUUAAUAGUCUAGAAACAUAAUCGUGUCGUAUCUAUACUUUAAUAAUUAUAAUUUUCUAGUUUUAAACAAAGAAAAAGAAAAUAGUUUGGAGGGUAAUAUUUAUUAAUUGGCAUGAGUUGUUUAAAGAUAUAUUAAGUAAUUUUAAUAAAACGUUGCACAAAGACGCGCUCUGUAUUUUUUCGUUGAUAAUUCUAAUAUACGUAGGAUAACCUCACGUGUGAUAGCUUCUCAGGUGUCAUAUAGGUGGCGCUGGCGUCGGAAGUAAAUGAAUAUUGGGUGGAGGGCUCAAACAUGAAAGAAAAGGUAUUAAAUUUUUAUUAUAAGUCGACGCUAUUGUCUGUUGAUAAGCGGUUCUGAGGGUUGAUUAACCUAUGCAAGUUUAAGACAUUUCAAGCCUUUCCCUUACCCAAGUUUGAAAGUACAGGGUAAUUAUAAAGAAAUAAAUACAUAAUCAAAAUAGUUGUAUCUUAAAAACUAAUUAUCUUGGGAGAACUGAGAAUGGUUAGUUUUAUUCUGGGAGGUCUGGAAAUGGUACAGAGCGUUUCAAAAACUGUCAUAGCAGGUGAUCAAUGUGCUUUCUGCCAUCCGUAGUCAUCGUAUCAAGUGUAAAUGAAGCUAAUACAAGUAUUGCCUGUUUCGGUCAGUGUCCAUUGAUGGUUGGAAUAUCCUGCACACUGACAAGAGUUCAAUUCAAAUCACUAACCUCAUAUUGUUGAAAGAGAGGGUAAAAAAAAAAGAGGGAGAAAUAAAAUCAAUGCUAGACUAUGAGGAAAACUAUUUAAGUAUUUAAUAUAUUGUGAUUAUGAAACACC
This is a long non-coding RNA of Limulus polyphemus (Atlantic horseshoe crab), 1183 nucleotides long. RefSeq lists it as uncharacterized. Lineage: Eukaryota; Metazoa; Arthropoda; Merostomata; Xiphosura; Limulidae. The transcript has 3 exons. The record is from RefSeq and is a predicted model, not a curated record.